UUCUAUGAAUCGUUGAAGUUGCUUAUUGUAAGCGGUGUUUGUUUGACAGGUAAGUGGCUAGUUUCAGUAAAAAUAAAAAUUUUCUAUUUCCUAGGUUUGGCAGUUUUGGUACAUUUCAAAUUCAUGUUGGCAUUAGCACCACAGAAGAAAAAAAUUUACUUGGAAGGAAAGGUGGUUACUUUCAAGGAGAAUCAUGAAACUAGAGCAUGAUUUACCAUGAACCAUUUGGGAAUCAACUUGUUAGCUGCCUUAUAACUAUCAUCCUUCUGAUGAAAUAACAGCAUUACAGCUGUUAGUUACGUCAAGAGAAUUAAUCUCAAGAUGCAAGUACUGAGCUUUAACGGAUUUCAAUUUACAGAAGCAAGACAUCCAAUUCUGUUGUUGAGGAGAAAACCAACUACACACCCAGCUAUGAAUGGACACAUGUGUGUUUAUAAAAUCCCAUACGUUGUUAGAAAUUUCAUCGCGUACAACUACAACUCGAAAGAAGAGUCACCUAUCCCAAUAAACAACUGUUAAAGAAGAAAAAUAAGGUGAUGCAUUUUGUUUCGUUUACGAGAACUUAAAUUUUACUUGGUUUAUUGCUUAGUUAAUAUUUACAGAAAAAUAUUGAUUGUUAAACAUUUAAAAUGAAAUACAAGCUUUUUUUUUUACAGUCCCUUAUUUAUUCGGUAAGUAAUGUUUUCAAUUAUGUUUGACUAACCUGAGCCGGUACUUCUUCAUUUGCCGCCUUCCGUGCCAUAAAAUCCCGUGACCCUAAAGCAAAGGUCUUAGUCAUUGGUGAAGAAAACCACUUGCCUUACAUGAAGCCACCACUAUCGAAAGAACUGUGGUUCAGUGACGAUCCCGAAGUGUCAAACAAACUAAAGUUUAAGCAGUGGAACAGAAAAGAGUGAAGUUUGUUCUUCGAACAGGAUGAAUUCUACUGCAGUCCCGUGGAAUUAGUUGCCAAAGAAAAUGGUGGCGUUUCAGUUGUGUGAGGACAUCUUGUAGUUAAACUGGACAUUGUUGGUCGCAAAGCUGAGUUAAAUGACGGCCAUACCAUCACCUACGACAAGUGCCUUAUUGCCACAGGUGGCAAACCGAAAUCGGUACCAUCGCUGAGCAGUGCCCCAGAAAAUGUCCAGGAGCACGUAACACUAUUCCAUAUUAUUGAUUUCCAUGAUAUCAAUAUUGGAUAUGGAUCACGGGAUCUCAUGUUGAAGGCGAGGGGGAGGAGAACACCCAAUCCGUUAGAAAGCUGAAAAAAGAAAUGACCGUCGAAGAAAGGCACUUAAUCCGUGCCCAUAAGCUACAACUCAUCGAAUCGGACUUUUAUAAGCAUGCCAGCAUUAAUGAAACGGCGCGGACGCUAGAUCUUGAUCUCGAUGUCGUUGUCGUUGAUCAAAUUUUCAACUUUUGGGUUCUUAAACGAAAGUCCAACCGAGACAGACCAUUGCUACCGCCCAAAACCACUGAAACGGAAAGAUUAAGUCAGCAACAACAGCAAGAUAUGGAACUUAUGAAAUUGUUUUUACAGCUACGACAAGACCUAGAGAGGGUUCGAAAUUUGUGUUACAUGGUCAGCCGAAGAGAGAAAUUAUCACGAUCGUAUUUUCGAUUGCGAGAACAAACUUUCCACAAGCAACAGCGAUUUUGUCUCUGUCUGAUCUCCAAAAAGUAUCACCCCAGCAGAACUGACGCCAAUCAUGGCUCCAAUGUCUAUGACCUUGUAUAUUUACGUGGGGAAACGAUCAAAAAAGAAGGCUUUGAACAAGUCAUUCAACUCAUAGCAGGCCUACAGUCGAACAUCCCCGCAAUGAAAAAGGAUAAAAAUGGAAUCGUUGGUCGUCCCAAUCAUUUAAAGGAAGACAACCCAUACAAACGCACGUACAUGAAUGGGGGCGAAAGUCGUUGAUUCCGCUCGCUAUCUUCCAUCAGUGCCGAAUCGGCUGCCUCUGAUACUGAAACAAACAGUAGAUGGAAGAGACCGGUGAGAACACCUUCGCAAACAUCAAUUACCUCGGUCGACAACGAUUUCGAUGUAGCCAUUACACAGCUUGGUUCCAAAAAAGCCGGUUCGAAAACUAGUGAUAGAGCUGGCAAGUUCAUUUACACCGUCAGUGAAGAAGAAGCGGGACCUUUUAGGCUUUUGAUGUUACCUGCUAAAUUUUUGUUUAAUUGUUUGUAUUUUGUAAAAAUAAAUGUAAAUCAAUUACCAAAAA
This is a long non-coding RNA of Daphnia carinata, 2204 nucleotides long. RefSeq lists it as uncharacterized. The transcript has 12 exons. The record is from RefSeq and is a predicted model, not a curated record. NCBI's taxonomy places the organism in Eukaryota, Metazoa, Arthropoda, Branchiopoda, Diplostraca, Daphniidae.